Molecule: ribosomal RNA, 433 nt
Filed under: uncultured bacterium
Lineage: Bacteria
Description: partial 16S ribosomal RNA
Rfam family: Bacterial small subunit ribosomal RNA
Source: RNAcentral
AGCGAACGCUGGCGGCAGGCUUAACACAUGCAAGUCGAGCGGGCACUUCGGUGUCAGCGGCAGACGGGUGAGUAACACGUGGGAACGUACCCUUCGGUUCGGAAUAACGCUGGGAAACUAGCGCUAAUACCGGAUACGCCCUUUUGGGGAAAGGUUUACUGCCGAAGGAUCGGCCCGCGUUUGAUUAGCUAGUUGGUGGGGUAAUGGCCUACCAAGGCGACGAUCAGUAGCUGGUCUGAGAGGAUGAUCAGCCACACUGGGACUGAGACACGGCCCAGACUCCUACGGGAGGCAGCAGUGGGGAAUAUUGGACAAUGGGCGCAAGCCUGAUCCAGCCAUGCCGCGUGAGUGAUGAAGGCCUUAGGGUUGUAAAGCUCUUUUGUCCGGGACGAUAAUGACGGUACCGGAAGAAUAAGCCCCGGCUAACUUCGUG